GAUGAACGCUGGCGGCGUGCCUAAUACAUGCAAGUCGAGCGAACGGACGAGAAGCUUGCUUCUCUGAUGUUAGCGGCGGACGGGUGAGUAACACGUGGAUAACCUACCUAUAAGACUGGGAUAACUUCGGGAAACCGGAGCUAAUACCGGAUGAUAUUUUGAACCGCAUGGUUCAAAAGUGAAAGACAGUCUUGCUGUCACUUAUAGAUGGAUCCGCGCUGCAUUAGCUAGUUGGUAAGGUAACGGCUUACCAAGGCAACGAUGCAUAGCCGACCUGAGAGGGUGAUCGGCCACACUGGAACUGAGACACGGUCCAGACUCCUACGGGAGGCAGCAGUAGGGAAUCUUCCGCAAUGGGCGAAAGCCUGAAGGAGCAACGCCGCGUGAGUGAUGAAGGUCUUCGGAUCGUAAAACUCUGUUAUUAGGGAAGAACAUAUGUGUAAGUAACUGUGCACAUCUUGACGGUACCUAAUCAGAAAGCCACGGCUAACUACGUG
RNAcentral lists this ribosomal RNA (497 nucleotides) under uncultured bacterium. RNAcentral's name for it is "partial 16S ribosomal RNA". It matches the Rfam family "Bacterial small subunit ribosomal RNA", at positions 28 to 507 of the family's 1533-position model. The record is from RNAcentral.